Molecule: ribosomal RNA, 497 nt
Filed under: uncultured bacterium
Lineage: Bacteria
Description: partial 16S ribosomal RNA
Rfam family: Bacterial small subunit ribosomal RNA
Source: RNAcentral
GACGAACGCUGGCGGCGUGCCUAAUACAUGCAAGUUGAGCGAUGAAGCUUGGUGCUUGCACCAAUUUGAAGAGCAGCGAACGGGUGAGUAACACGUGGGGAAUCUGCCUUUGAGCGGGGGACAACAUUUGGAAACGAAUGCUAAUACCGCAUAACAACUUUAAACAUAAGUUUUAAGUUUGAAAGAUGCAAUUGCAUCACUCAAAGAUGAUCCCGCGUUGUAUUAGCUAGUUGGUGAGGUAAAGGCUCACCAAGGCGAUGAUACAUAGCCGACCUGAGAGGGUGAUCGGCCACAUUGGGACUGGGACACGGCCCAAACUCCUACGGGAGGCAGCAGUAGGGAAUCUUCGGCAAUGGACGAAAGUCUGACCGAGCAACGCCGCGUGAGUGAAGAAGGUUUUCGGAUCGUAAAACUCUGUUGGUAGAGAAGAACGUUGGUGAGAGUGGAAAGCUCAUCAAGUGUCGGUAACUACCCAGAAAGGGACGGCUAACUACGUG